This 410-nucleotide ribosomal RNA is filed under the name 'Chlorochromatium aggregatum' nonphotosynthetic symbiont. Its description in RNAcentral is "bacterial SSU rRNA". It matches the Rfam family "Bacterial small subunit ribosomal RNA", at positions 418 to 818 of the family's 1533-position model. The record is from RNAcentral.
UCGGGUUGUAAAGCUCUUUCGGCCGGGAAGAAAUCGCAUGAGUUAAUACCUGGUGUGGAUGACGGUACCGGAAUAAGAAGCACCGGCUAACUACGUGCCAGCAGCCGCGGUAAUACGUAGGGUGCGAGCGUUAAUCGGAAUUACUGGGCGUAAAGCGUGCGCAGGCGGUUUUUUAAGACAGGCGUGAAAUCCCCGGGCUUAACCUGGGAACUGCGCUUGUGACUGGAAGACUAGAGUAUGGCAGAGGGGGGUGGAAUUCCACGUGUAGCAGUGAAAUGCGUAGAGAUGUGGAGGAACACCCAUGGCGAAGGCAGCCCCCUGGGCCAAUACUGACGCUCAUGCACGAAAGCGUGGGGAGCAAACAGGCAUUAGAUACCCUGGUAGUCCACGCCCUAAACGAAUGUCAACUA